This 255-nucleotide ribosomal RNA is filed under the name uncultured bacterium. Its description in RNAcentral is "partial 16S ribosomal RNA". It matches the Rfam family "Bacterial small subunit ribosomal RNA", at positions 524 to 775 of the family's 1533-position model. The record is from RNAcentral.
CACGUAGGGUGCGAGCGUUGUCCGGAAUUAUUGGGCGUAAAGAGCUCGUAGGCGGUGUGUCGCGUCGGCCGUGAAAACCUGCAGCUUAACUGUGGGCUUGCGGUCGAUACGGGCAUCACUGGAGUUCGGCAGGGGAGACUGGAAUUCCUGGUGUAGCGGUGAAAUGCGCAGAUAUCAGGAGGAACACCGGUGGCGAAGGCGGGGUCUCUGGGCCGAUACUGACGCUGAGGAGCGAAAGCGUGGGGGAGCGAACGG